GGUCGCGUAGCUCAAUUGGUUAGAGCGCCGCCCUGUCACGGCGGAGGUUGCGAGUUCGAGCCUCGUCGCGACCGCCA
This 77-nucleotide transfer RNA is filed under the name Verrucomicrobiia bacterium. Its description in RNAcentral is "tRNA-Asp". It matches the Rfam family "tRNA". From Rfam's summary of the family: Transfer RNA (tRNA) molecules are approximately 80 nucleotides in length. Their secondary structure includes four short double-helical elements and three loops (D, anti-codon, and T loops). The record is from RNAcentral. Lineage: Bacteria; Pseudomonadati; Verrucomicrobiota; Verrucomicrobiia.